UACGUACGGCGCAAGCGUUAUCCGGAAUUAUUGGGCGUAAAGAGCUCGUAGGCGGUUUGUCGCGUCUGCUGUGAAAGACCGGGGCUCAACUGGGGGAGGUCGUGCGAUACGGGCGAACUGGAGGCCAGUAGGGGGAUGCGGAAUUCCGGGUGUAGUGGUGGAAUGCGUAGAGAUCCGGAGGAACACCAGCGGCGAAGGCGGCAUCCUGGACUGGUCCUGACACUCAUGAGCGAAAGCGUGGGGAGCGAUCCGG
Molecule: ribosomal RNA, 253 nt
Filed under: uncultured bacterium
Lineage: Bacteria
Description: partial 16S ribosomal RNA
Rfam family: Bacterial small subunit ribosomal RNA
Source: RNAcentral